This 559-nucleotide long non-coding RNA is filed under the name Ananas comosus (pineapple). Its description in RNAcentral is "long non-coding RNA (ACOM_LNC042119)". Lineage: Eukaryota; Viridiplantae; Streptophyta; Magnoliopsida; Poales; Bromeliaceae. The record is from RNAcentral.
CCAGUUGCUAUUAGGUUUUCGGCCCUGGAUGAAGGGAUAUGCGGUUAGGAUAAUAGUGAUUCCCUAUUGAGUGGGUGGUUAGUUGAAUAGUUUGAUCUAUCGGGUGAAAAUGGUUAAAGGGGUAGAUCUAACGGCACAAAAUUCGACAGUACUAAACAUUUAGUACUAUCGAUGUAAUAUACUGAAUCUGGGCCUAUUGACAAGUUCAAGGGUUGGAAUGGCUUUUGGAACUGAUCUACGACGUUUGAUAGACCUUAGAAAGGUUUUGACACGUUACUGAAGUAAGAAAGUAACUGGAAUUGGAAAAUUGCAUCGUAAAUGCAUUAUCAAUUGCAAUGCUUCGAAAUUGGUCAAUUGCGAAGUUCGAAUGCGGGAAAUGGUAAGUGGAACUACUCUACAUAUUCUAAAGGGCUUAGACAAGUUUUUGGAUAAGUUAGAGAGUGAUUGGAGGGUUAAAAGCAAGAAAGUGCAUUGAAUGGACGAAAUCAGUAUUUUUCUGCUUGCUGUACCGGUACAGCCAUCACCUUGUACCGAUACAGACUGGACAGACUGGCAGAAA